This 412-nucleotide long non-coding RNA is filed under the name Gallus gallus (chicken). RNAcentral describes it as "lncRNA (ENSGALG00010023321.1)". Lineage: Eukaryota; Metazoa; Chordata; Aves; Galliformes; Phasianidae. The record is from RNAcentral.
GUUCUCCAAGACCUGUCAAAGAUGACAGAGGGUGUCAGCAGUCACAUCUGCCAUCUCCCCCAGCACAUGUGGAUGCAUCCCGCCGGUGAUUUUUUACAGGAGAAAGGUGUGGCACGAUACCGCAGCUCUUCACAGCUUCAAAGCAUUACGUGCACAGUACAGAUACAGAUGUCCUGAGUGUUUCACCUCAUUCACCCAACUGGUAAUGGGAAGGUUAGGAACAGUAAAAAACAUCAUCUUCUUCCAGAAGGCCUUGAAAACCUGUUGGAAAGGCGACACCUCCUAUGGAAGCUUUGCUGGUAAUUCAGAUGUUCGUGAUAUGUGAAUCCUUACCUUAGAAGUCGUGCUUGAUUGGAUUUGCUGCAGUGUUUCGGGUGAGGAACUGCAUUUCUGGAGGAAUUUCUACUUCUUG